RNAcentral lists this long non-coding RNA (352 nucleotides) under Cicer arietinum (chickpea). Its description in RNAcentral is "long non-coding RNA (CARI_LNC003662)". The record is from RNAcentral. Lineage: Eukaryota; Viridiplantae; Streptophyta; Magnoliopsida; Fabales; Fabaceae.
UUCUACUUCUGCAUUAGACUUUUUAUGCUUUAGUUUUCUUAUAGAAUAUAUUUUUCUUUGUUGGACUUCAUCUGAGUACUAAAGAGCUAAAAAGCUAAAAAGCUUAUUGAAUAGAGCAUACACAAAGAAAAUAAAUAUGUAUACUGAAUAAUUAAGCAAAAGACUGGAUGUUUUUUCCUUCCAAAGUAGCUCUCCCCUCUCAUUAUAGCUGUUGAAUUAGUCAUCAGCCAAUUCUUUUAAAAAUAAUGUAUAUAAUUAUAGUUGUCAACAUAGUUGGUUUAGUAUUGUGAAGAGGAUAGUUGCUUGGCUACCUAAGAACUAGUUUUAGAACUUAGAAAUGAGAAUCAUUAUU